AAAUUGAAGAGUUUGAUCAUGGCUCAGAUUGAACGCUGGCGGCAGGCCUAACACAUGCAAGUCGAACGGUAACAGGAAUCAGCUUGCUGAUUUGCUGACGAGUGGCGGACGGGUGAGUAAUGUCUGGGAAACUGCCUGAUGGAGGGGGAUAACUACUGGAAACGGUAGCUAAUACCGCAUAAUGUCGCAAGACCAAAGAGGGGGACCUUCGGGCCUCUUGCCAUCGGAUGUGCCCAGAUGGGAUUAGCUAGUAGGUGGGGUAACGGCUCACCUAGGCGACGAUCCCUAGCUGGUCUGAGAGGAUGACCAGCCACACUGGAACUGAGACACGGUCCAGACUCCUACGGGAGGCAGCAGUGGGGAAUAUUGCACAAUGGGCGCAAGCCUGAUGCAGCCAUGCCGCGUGUAUGAAGAAGGCCUUCGGGUUGUAAAGUACUUUCAGCGGGGAGGAAGGGAGUAAAGU
Molecule: ribosomal RNA, 463 nt
Filed under: Escherichia coli
Lineage: Bacteria; Pseudomonadati; Pseudomonadota; Gammaproteobacteria; Enterobacterales; Enterobacteriaceae
Description: bacterial SSU rRNA
Rfam family: Bacterial small subunit ribosomal RNA
Source: RNAcentral